GCGCCACCUUCCUGUUCAAGUGAGCACAGCACAACAAGGAAAGAGCAAUCUCCUUUCAAUGUGAAGACAGGAUGAGGGUCUGGGUUGGCUUCGGCGGGGAUGAGAGACAGAAAAGUGAAAGCAGCCCCAUGUCCUUCAGGAUGACCGUCUCCAAGGACAGGUAGUCCUCAUACUCCUUCAUGGCCUCCUCCAAGAUCUGCGCCACCUG
This is a long non-coding RNA of Coregonus clupeaformis (lake whitefish), 208 nucleotides long. RefSeq lists it as uncharacterized. NCBI's taxonomy places the organism in Eukaryota, Metazoa, Chordata, Actinopteri, Salmoniformes, Salmonidae. The record is from RefSeq and is a predicted model, not a curated record. The transcript has 3 exons.